AUGGCGGCGACAAAUAAAGCAGAUCAAAUUGGACAAAUAAAGUGGUUGUUUCCCAACUGGGUUGCCAUGCUUCUUGGUUCGAGGCGCGGCGACCAAGAUCUCUUCCUCGACUAUAUGAAGGUUGUCAUGAGAUACACCAACGUCCAAGGGCUCGUAGAUGCAGUGUCCAUGAAGGUUGCUAUGUCGCUCUGGCACAAGCUACAAGUGAAGUUAACGCAGAGUUGCACUAAGACGACGACAACGACUUACAGAUCGUCUCCUGCCAGCACUGCAACCUCGCCGCUGUCCUCCUCCCAUCAUUGA
This 303-nucleotide ribosomal RNA is filed under the name Triticum aestivum (bread wheat). Its description in RNAcentral is "partial small subunit ribosomal RNA". The record is from RNAcentral. Lineage: Eukaryota; Viridiplantae; Streptophyta; Magnoliopsida; Poales; Poaceae.